UGAGCAAUCUGCCCUUCUCUUUGGAAUAAGCGUUGGAAACGACGUCUAAUGCCGAAUACGACCUCCUUUCGCAUGAUCGGAGGUGGAAAGCUCCGGCGGAGAAGGAUGAGCUCGCGGCCUAUCAGCUAGUUGGUGUGGGUAAUGGCCCACCAAGGCGACGACGGGUAGCCGGCCUGAGAGGGUGACCGGCCACACGUGGGACUGAGACACGGCCCAGACCUCCGUACGGGAGGNAGCG
This 238-nucleotide ribosomal RNA is filed under the name uncultured bacterium. Its description in RNAcentral is "partial 16S ribosomal RNA". It matches the Rfam family "Bacterial small subunit ribosomal RNA", at positions 118 to 353 of the family's 1533-position model. The record is from RNAcentral.